RNAcentral lists this ribosomal RNA (530 nucleotides) under uncultured bacterium. RNAcentral describes it as "partial 16S ribosomal RNA". It matches the Rfam family "Bacterial small subunit ribosomal RNA", at positions 355 to 900 of the family's 1533-position model. The record is from RNAcentral.
UGGGGAAUAUUGCACAAUGGGCGAAAGCCUGAUGCAGCAACGCCGCGUGAGUGAUGAAGGUCUUCGGAUUGUAAAGCUCUGUCUUUUGGGACGAUAAUGACGGUACCAAAGGAGGAAGCCACGGCUAACUACGUGCCAGCAGCCGCGGUAAUACGUAGGUGGCGAGCGUUGUCCGGAUUUACUGGGCGUAAAGGGUGCGUAGGCGGAUGUUUAAGUGAGAUGUGAAAUACCCGGGCUUAACUUGGGUGCUGCAUUUCAAACUGGAUAUCUAGAGUGCAGGAGAGGAGAAUGGAAUUCCUAGUGUAGCGGUGAAAUGCGUAGAGAUUAGGAAGAACACCAGUGGCGAAGGCGAUUCUCUGGACUGUAACUGACGCUGAGGCACGAAAGCGUGGGUAGCAAACAGGAUUAGAUACCCUGGUAGUCCACGCCGUAAAACGAUGAGUACUAGGUGUAGGAGGUAUCGACCCCUUCUGUGCCGCAGUAAACACAUUAAGUACUCCGCCUGGGAAGUACGAUCGCAAGAUUAAAAC